GUCAGGAGCCUUUGUUAGUCUUGUAUUAUUUUUAAUUUUAAUUUCUUGUGUACAAUUUGAAGUUUAGUAUGGCGUUCAUUAUGACUGAACUGGUAUACUCAUGUGUUUAGGGGCCGACAGAAGGACGCCUCCGGAUGUGGGAAUUUCUCGCUGUAUUGAAGACCUGUUGGUGACCUUCUGCUGUUGUCUGUUCUAUGGUCGGGUUGUUGUCUCUUUGACACAUUCCCCAUUUCCAUUCUCAAUUUUAUUAAGUGUCUUUUUGUUGUUGGGAUGUACAAUCACCCGGCCAAGUCCACUCUGUUUUUUUUUUUUUUUUUUUUGUUUUGUGUUAGAUGUAUUUCUAUUUGCAUCCAUCUGAUGAGCCUUUUUCAACUGAUUUUUAUUGUUUGUUCUUUCUAUGUUGUACUGUUGCACCACUGUCAAAGCCGUUUGACCUUUUAUAGGUCAGCCUAGUGACCAUGCGGUAUGGGCUUUUUUCAUUGUUGAAAGCCGUGUAGUAACCUAUAGCUGUUAUUUUUAUUUGGUCUCUUGUGAAGAGUUGUUUCAUUGGCCAUUAUACCACAUUUUCUUUCUUUAAACAAUGCACAAAAACUUAAUAUUGACCAACGAAUCAUGAAAAUGAGGUCAAGGUUAGAUAAAACCGCAAGACUGACAUGUACCCAUUAUAGUAAUUCC
RNAcentral lists this long non-coding RNA (675 nucleotides) under Mytilus galloprovincialis (Mediterranean mussel). The record is from RNAcentral. Lineage: Eukaryota; Metazoa; Mollusca; Bivalvia; Mytilida; Mytilidae.